Molecule: ribosomal RNA, 1360 nt
Filed under: Pseudomonas lini
Lineage: Bacteria; Pseudomonadati; Pseudomonadota; Gammaproteobacteria; Pseudomonadales; Pseudomonadaceae
Description: partial 23S ribosomal RNA
Rfam family: Bacterial large subunit ribosomal RNA
Source: RNAcentral
CGAAGUGGUUGAUGCCAUGCUUCCAAGAAAAGCUUCUAAGCUUCAGGUAACCAGGAACCGUACCCCAAACCGACACAGGUGGUUGGGUAGAGAAUACCAAGGCGCUUGAGAGAACUCGGGUGAAGGAACUAGGCAAAAUGGCACCGUAACUUCGGGAGAAGGUGCGCCGGUGAGGGUGAAGCAUUUACUGCGUAAGCCCAUGCCGGUCGAAGAUACCAGGCCGCUGCGACUGUUUAUUAAAAACACAGCACUCUGCAAACACGAAAGUGGACGUAUAGGGUGUGACGCCUGCCCGGUGCCGGAAGGUUAAUUGAUGGGGUUAGCUAACGCGAAGCUCUUGAUCGAAGCCCCGGUAAACGGCGGCCGUAACUAUAACGGUCCUAAGGUAGCGAAAUUCCUUGUCGGGUAAGUUCCGACCUGCACGAAUGGCGUAACGAUGGCGGCGCUGUCUCCACCCGAGACUCAGUGAAAUUGAAAUCGCUGUGAAGAUGCAGUGUAUCCGCGGCUAGACGGAAAGACCCCGUGAACCUUUACUAUAGCUUUGCACUGGACUUUGAAUUUGCUUGUGUAGGAUAGGUGGGAGGCUUUGAAGCGUGGACGCCAGUUCGCGUGGAGCCAACCUUGAAAUACCACCCUGGCAACUUUGAGGUUCUAACUCAGGUCCGUUAUCCGGAUCGAGGACAGUGUAUGGUGGGUAGUUUGACUGGGGCGGUCUCCUCCUAAAGAGUAACGGAGGAGUACGAAGGUGCGCUCAGACCGGUCGGAAAUCGGUCGUAGAGUAUAAAGGCAAAAGCGCGCUUGACUGCGAGACAGACACGUCGAGCAGGUACGAAAGUAGGUCUUAGUGAUCCGGUGGUUCUGUAUGGAAGGGCCAUCGCUCAACGGAUAAAAGGUACUCCGGGGAUAACAGGCUGAUACCGCCCAAGAGUUCAUAUCGACGGCGGUGUUUGGCACCUCGAUGUCGGCUCAUCACAUCCUGGGGCUGAAGCCGGUCCCAAGGGUAUGGCUGUUCGCCAUUUAAAGUGGUACGCGAGCUGGGUUUAGAACGUCGUGAGACAGUUCGGUCCCUAUCUGCCGUGGACGUUUGAGAUUUGAGAGGGGCUGCUCCUAGUACGAGAGGACCGGAGUGGACGAACCUCUGGUGUUCCGGUUGUCACGCCAGUGGCAUUGCCGGGUAGCUAUGUUCGGAAUAGAUAACCGCUGAAAGCAUCUAAGCGGGAAACUAGCCUCAAGAUGAGAUCUCACUGGGACCUUGAGUCCCCUGAAGGGCCGUCGAAGACUACGACGUUGAUAGGUUGGGUGUGUAAGCGCUGUGAGGCGUUGAGCUAACCAAUACUAAUUGCCCGUGAGGCUUGACCAU